UCCCUGAUAGCUCAGAGGUUAAAGCAUCUGCCUCCAAUGCAGGAGACCCUGGUUCAAUCCCUGGGUCGGGAA
RNAcentral lists this transfer RNA (72 nucleotides) under Bos taurus (domestic cattle). It matches the Rfam family "tRNA". From Rfam's summary of the family: Transfer RNA (tRNA) molecules are approximately 80 nucleotides in length. The record is from Rfam by way of RNAcentral. RNAcentral also lists the same sequence under 2 other names. Lineage: Eukaryota; Metazoa; Chordata; Mammalia; Artiodactyla; Bovidae.